UUAGACGGAGUCUAAUGGAGUGCAAUGGCUCGAUCUCGGCUUACUGCGACCUCCGCCUCGCAGGUUCAAGCGAUUCCCCUGCCUCAGCCUCCCGAGUAGCUGGGACUACAGGCAUGCACCACCACGCCCAGCUAAUUUUUUGUAUUUUAGUAGAGACGGGGUUUCACCAUGUUGGCCAGUAUGGUCUCGAUCUCCCGACCUCGUGAUCUGCCCGCCUCAGCCUCCCAACGUGCUGGGAUUACAGGUCUAGCAGAGCAACUGCGAGAUCUAGGAGGCGCCUCACUCUCUACUCUGGAAAAGAUAAGAACUGAAGAGUAAAUAAAUACCUGAGAGAAACACAUCACUGCAAGAAAAGAGGCAGAAGUGCAGGUACAUUCAUUGGAACUAUGUCUCAGAAAUAGUACAUAUUUGAAACAUUUAACCUUCAUAAAUUUUUUAUAAGGAUCCAUAUUCAUAUCCUCAAUUAUACAUUAGGGAACCAAGGCUCAUCAAGUAAUGUGGUCAAUGCAAAAAUUAAAUUAGUAAGUGAAGAAACUGGGUUUCACACCCAUAUCUAACUUCAAAAUCCAUGUGACUGACACUACCAUCCUUCCUUGCCAACACUAGUUCAGAUACCAAAGGAUAAAAGUAGACUUUUAAUUUAUUAUAUGAUUGCAAAAUUGUGUAUGCUCAUUAUAAAAUUUGUAAAAACAGAAAGCCAUAAGCAAAAAGAUCCACAAUCCCACCCACCUAGCAAUACCCAUUGUUAAUAUUUUGAAGUAGGUUCUAUUUUUUAUGAAUGAUAUAAUUAUCUUUUAAGUAAAUCAUGAUAUAAUGCUGUUUUAUAAUCUGCUUUUUUAUGAACCUUCCCAAUCUGCUUAUUUUUCCACAAUGUCAUUUUUAGACAAUUACACAUUGUUCCACAAAAUUAAUAGACUACAAUUAAUUUAAGCAUUCUAAAUUGAUAUUUAGGUUGAUAUGAUUUUUUACUAUUAUAAUGAAAACGAUGACAAACAUUCUUGUCAAUGAUUUUAUGAGCAUGUUUAGUUUAUAAGAAUAAAUUUGUAAAGCAAUAUUGCUGAAUCAAAGUGCAUGCAUUUCUUCAAGUCUUUCACUAUAUUACCAAAUUGUAUUUCACAAAUUUUUACAGCAAUUUAUACUUUCACCAGCAUAUUUGGGAAUACAUCUCUCCUUGCAACUUUAAUAACACAAGGAAUUAUCAUUUUUCCAUUGCUAUUAGUUGAUAAACAGAAAAGAG
This 1237-nucleotide long non-coding RNA is filed under the name Homo sapiens (human). RNAcentral describes it as "HSALNT0175440". Lineage: Eukaryota; Metazoa; Chordata; Mammalia; Primates; Hominidae. The record is from RNAcentral.